UGGGGAAUUUUGGACAAUGGGGGAAACCCUGAUCCAGCCAUCCCGCGUGUGCGAUGAAGGCCUUCGGGUUGUAAAGCACUUUUGGCAGGAAAGAAACGUCAUGGGUUAAUACCCCGUGAAACUGACGGUACCUGCAGAAUAAGCACCGGCUAACUACGUGCCAGCAGCCGCGGUAAUACGUAGGGUGCAAGCGUUAAUCGGAAUUACUGGGCGUAAAGCGUGCGCAGGCGGUUCGGAAAGAAAGAUGUGAAAUCCCAGAGCUCAACUUUGGAACUGCAUUUGUAACUACCGGGCUAGAGUGUGUCAGAGGGAGGUGGAAUUCCGCGUGUAGCAGUGAAAUGCGUAGAUAUGCGGAGGAACACCGAUGGCGAAGGCAGCCUCCUGGGAUAACACGGACGCUCAUGCACGAAAGCGUGGGGAGCAAACAGG
RNAcentral lists this ribosomal RNA (429 nucleotides) under Acidobacteriota bacterium. RNAcentral describes it as "Acidobacteria bacterium partial 16S ribosomal RNA". It matches the Rfam family "Bacterial small subunit ribosomal RNA", at positions 355 to 776 of the family's 1533-position model. The record is from RNAcentral. Lineage: Bacteria; Pseudomonadati; Acidobacteriota.